GCUCCCUUCGUCUAGCGGUUCAGGAUACCGCCCUCUCACGGCGGGGACAGGGGUUCGAUUCCCCUAGGGAGCGCCA
This 76-nucleotide transfer RNA is filed under the name Gammaproteobacteria bacterium. Its description in RNAcentral is "tRNA-Glu". It matches the Rfam family "tRNA". From Rfam's summary of the family: Transfer RNA (tRNA) molecules are approximately 80 nucleotides in length. Their secondary structure includes four short double-helical elements and three loops (D, anti-codon, and T loops). RNAcentral also lists the same sequence under 2 other names. Lineage: Bacteria; Pseudomonadati; Pseudomonadota; Gammaproteobacteria. The record is from RNAcentral.